ACGUAGGGACCAAGCGUUGUUCGGAUUUACUGGGCGUAGAGGGCGCGUAGGCGGCGAAUCAAGUCAGCUGUGAAAUCUCCGAGCUUAACUCGGAACGGUCAGCUGAUACUGUCUUGCUAGAGUACAGAAGGGGCAAUCGGAAUUCUUGGUGUAGCGGUGAAAUGCGUAGAUAUCAAGAGGAACACCUGAGGUGAAGACGGGUUGCUGGGCUGAUACUGACGCUGAGGCGCGAAAGCUAGGGUAGCAAACGGGA
This 253-nucleotide ribosomal RNA is filed under the name uncultured prokaryote. Its description in RNAcentral is "partial 16S ribosomal RNA". It matches the Rfam family "Bacterial small subunit ribosomal RNA", at positions 525 to 777 of the family's 1533-position model. The record is from RNAcentral.